This 253-nucleotide ribosomal RNA is filed under the name uncultured bacterium. Its description in RNAcentral is "partial 16S ribosomal RNA". It matches the Rfam family "Bacterial small subunit ribosomal RNA", at positions 524 to 776 of the family's 1533-position model. The record is from RNAcentral.
UACAGAGGUCCCAAGCGUUGUUCGGAUUCACUGGGCGUAAAGGGUGCGUAGGUGGCUUGGUAAGUUUGAUGUGAAAUCUCCGGGCUUAACCCGGAAAUGGCAUUGAAUACUAUUGAGCUGGAGGUUUGGAGGGGGGACUGGAAUUCUCGGUGUAGCAGUGAAAUGCGUAGAUAUCGAGAGGAACACCAGUGGCGAAGGCGGGUCCCUGGACAACACCUGACGCUGAGGCACGAAAGCUAGGGGAGCAAACAGG